RNAcentral lists this ribosomal RNA (279 nucleotides) under uncultured bacterium. RNAcentral describes it as "partial 16S ribosomal RNA". It matches the Rfam family "Bacterial small subunit ribosomal RNA", at positions 506 to 784 of the family's 1533-position model. The record is from RNAcentral.
UGCCAGCAGCCGCGGUAAUACGGAGGGAGCAAACGUUGUUCGGAUUUACUGGGUGUAAAGGGUGCGUAGGCGGCUACGUGUGUCGGAGGUGAAAUCCAGCGGCUCAACCGUUGGACUGCCCCCGAAACUGCGUAGCUUGAGUCCGUGAGAGGAAGGCGGAAUUCCUGGUGUAACGGUGAAAUGUGCAGAUAUCAGGAAGAACACCCGUGGCGAAGGCGGCCUUCUGGUGCGGAACUGACGCUGAGGCACGAAAGCUAGGGUAUCGAACGGGAUUAGAUA